CCUACGGGUGGCAGCAGUCGAGAAUUUUUCUCAAUGGGGGAAACCCUGAAGGAGCGACGCCGCGUGGAGGAUGAAGGUCUUCGGAUUGUAAACUCCUGUCAUUGGGGAACAAUGCGCAAAUAUUAACUGUAUUUGCGUUGAUAGUACCCGAAGAGGAAGAGACGGCUAACUCUGUGCCAGCAGCCGCGGUAAUACAGAGGUCUCAAGCGUUGUUCGGAUUCAUUGGGCGUAAAGGGUGCGUAGGCGGCUCGGUAAGUCCGCUGUGAAAGUCCAGGGCUCAACCCUGGAAUGCCGGUGGAAACUGUCGAGCUAGAGUCCGGAAGAGGCGAGUGGAAUUCCUGGUGUAGCGGUGAAAUGCGCAGAUAUCAGGAGGAACACCAAUGGCGAAGGCAGCUCGCUGGGACGGUACUGACGCUGAGACGCGAAAGCGUGGGGAGCAA
This 440-nucleotide ribosomal RNA is filed under the name uncultured bacterium. Its description in RNAcentral is "bacterial SSU rRNA". It matches the Rfam family "Bacterial small subunit ribosomal RNA", at positions 338 to 771 of the family's 1533-position model. The record is from RNAcentral.